CAGGCCUAACACAUGCAAGUCGAACGAAGCAGCAGUGAAGGAGGCUUCGGCCAAUGGAACUGUUGACUUAGUGGCGGACGGGUGAGUAACGCGUGAGCAACCUGCCUUUCAGAGGGGGAUAACGUUUGGAAACGAACGCUAAUACCGCAUGAAGUAUCUUUGCUGCAUGACAGAGAUACCAAAGGAGCAAUCCGCUGAGAGAUGGGCUCGCGUCCGAUUAGAUAGUUGGUGGGGUAACGGCCUACCAAGUCGACGAUCGGUAGCCGGACUGAGAGGUUGAACGGCCACAUUGGGACUGAGACACGGCCCAGACUCCUACGGGAGGCAGCAGUGGGGAAUAUUGGUCAAUGGUCGGAAGACUGAACCAGCCAAGUAGCGUGAAGGAUGACUGCCCUACGGGUUGUAAACUUCUUUUAUGCGGGAAUAAAGUGCCCCACGCGUGGGGUAUUGCAUGUACCGCGUGAAUAAGCAUCGGCUAAUUCCGUGCCAGCAGCCGCGGUAAUACGGAAGAUGCGAGCGUUAUCCGGAUUUAUUGGGUUUAAAGGGAGCGUAGGCGGAGGCUUAAGUCAGUGGUCAAAUCGUGUGGCUCAACCAUGCGUCGCCGUUGAUACUGGGUCUCUUGAGUGCACAUAAGGAUGGUGGAAUUCGUCGUGUAGCGGUGAAAUGCUUAGAUAUGACGAAGAACUCCGAUUGCGAAGGCAGCUGUCCGGGGUGUAACUGACGCUAAUGCUCGAAAGUGCGGGUAUCAAACAGGAUUAGAUACCCUGGUAGUCCGCACAGUAAACGAUGGAUACCCGCAGUCGGCGACACAAUGUCGGCUGCCAAGCGAAAGCAUUAAGUAUCCCACCUGGGGAGUACGCCGGCAACGGUGAAACUCAAAGGAAUUGACGGGGGCCCGCACAAGCGGAGGAACAUGUGGUUUAAUUCGAUGAUACGCGAGGAACCUUACCCGGGCUUGAAUUGCAGGCGACGGGGCGAGAGACCGCCCUUUCUUCGGACGCCUGUGAAGGUGCUGCAUGGUUGUCGUCAGCUCGUGCCGUGAGGUGUCGGCUCAAGUGCCAUAACGAGCGCAACCCCUGUCUCCAGUUGCCAUCAGGUGAUGCUGGGCACUCUGGAGAUACUGCCAUCGCAAGAUGUGAGGAAGGUGGGGAUGACGUCAAAUCAGCACGGCCCUUACGUCCGGGGCUACACACGUGUUACAAUGGGGGACACAGAGGGCCGCCACCGGGUGACCGGGCGCCAAUCCAUCAAAAUCCCUCUCAGUUCGGACUGGAGUCUGCAACCCGACUCCACGAAGCUGGAUUCGCUAGUAAUCGCGCAUCAGCCAUGGCGCGGUGAAUACGUUCSCGG
This 1350-nucleotide ribosomal RNA is filed under the name uncultured rumen bacterium. RNAcentral describes it as "bacterial SSU rRNA". It matches the Rfam family "Bacterial small subunit ribosomal RNA", at positions 43 to 1377 of the family's 1533-position model. The record is from RNAcentral.